UACGAAGGGGGCUAGCGUUGUUCGGAAUUACUGGGCGUAAAGGGCGCGUAGGCGGCCUUGUCAGUCAGAUGUGAAAGCCCCGGGCUCAACCUGGGAACCGCAUUUGAUACUGCAAGGCUCGAGUUCCGGAGAGGAUGGUGGAAUUCCCAGUGUAGAGGUGAAAUUCGUAGAUAUUGGGAAGAACACCGGUGGCGAAGGCGGCCAUCUGGACGGACACUGACGCUGAGGCGCGAAAACGUGGGGAGCAAACAGG
Molecule: ribosomal RNA, 253 nt
Filed under: uncultured bacterium
Lineage: Bacteria
Description: partial 16S ribosomal RNA
Rfam family: Bacterial small subunit ribosomal RNA
Source: RNAcentral